UGAUUUUGCAGGAAAGAGGAGUAU
Molecule: non-coding RNA, 24 nt
Filed under: Arabidopsis thaliana (thale cress)
Lineage: Eukaryota; Viridiplantae; Streptophyta; Magnoliopsida; Brassicales; Brassicaceae
Source: RNAcentral